Molecule: transfer RNA, 74 nt
Filed under: Seleniivibrio woodruffii
Lineage: Bacteria; Pseudomonadati; Deferribacterota; Deferribacteres; Deferribacterales; Geovibrionaceae
Also listed under: 2 other names
Rfam family: tRNA
About the family: Transfer RNA (tRNA) molecules are approximately 80 nucleotides in length. Their secondary structure includes four short double-helical elements and three loops (D, anti-codon, and T loops).
Source: Rfam by way of RNAcentral
GCCCACGUGGCUCAGGUGGCUAGAGCACGUCCUUGGUAAGGACGAGAUCACCGGUUCGAGUCCGGUCGUGGGCU